GAUGAACGCUGGCGGCGUGCCUAAUACAUGCAAGUCGAGCGAACAGAUGAGGAGCUUGCUCCUCUGACGUUAGCGGCGGACGGGUGAGUAACACGUGGAUAACCUACCUAUAAGACUGGGAUAACUUCGGGAAACCGGAGCUAAUACCGGAUAAUAUAUUGAACCGCAUGGUUCAAUAGUGAAAGACGGUUUUGCUGUCACUUAUAGAUGGAUCCGCGCCGCAUUAGCUAGUUGGUAAGGUAACGGCUUACCAAGGCAACGAUGCGUAGCCGACCUGAGAGGGUGAUCGGCCACACUGGAACUGAGACACGGUCCAGACUCCUACGGGAGGCAGCAGUAGGGAAUGUUACGCAAUGGGCGAAAGCCUGACGGAGCAACGCCGCGUGAGUGAUGAAGGUCUUCGGAUCGUAAAACUCUGUUAUUAGGGAAGAACAAAUGUGUAAGUAACUAUGCACGUCUUGACGGUACCUAAUCAGAAAGCCACGGCUAACUACGUG
Molecule: ribosomal RNA, 497 nt
Filed under: uncultured bacterium
Lineage: Bacteria
Description: partial 16S ribosomal RNA
Rfam family: Bacterial small subunit ribosomal RNA
Source: RNAcentral